Molecule: ribosomal RNA, 594 nt
Filed under: uncultured Bacteroidota bacterium
Lineage: Bacteria; Pseudomonadati; Bacteroidota
Description: bacterial SSU rRNA
Rfam family: Bacterial small subunit ribosomal RNA
Source: RNAcentral
CAACCUGCCCACCACUUGGGGAUAACCUUGCGAAAGUAAGACUAAUACCCAAUGACGUCCAUAGAAGACAUCUGAAAUGGAUUAAAGAUUUAUCGGUGAUGGAUGGGGAUGCGUCUGAUUAGCUUGUUGGCGGGGUAACGGCCCACCAAGGCGACGAUCAGUAGGGGUUCUGAGAGGAAGGUCCCCCACAUUGGAACUGAGACACGGUCCAAACUCCUACGGGAGGCAGCAGUGAGGAAUAUUGGUCAAUGGGCGAGGGCCUGAACCAGCCAAGUAGCGUGCAGGAUGACGGCCUAUGGGUUGUAAACUGCUUUUAUAAGGGAAUAAAGUGAGCCUCGUGAGGCUUUUUGCAUGUACCUUAUGAAUAAGGACCGGCUAAUUCCGUGCCAGCAGCCGCGGUGAUACGGAAGGUCCGGGCGUUAUCCGGAUUUAUUGGGUUUAAAGGGAGCGUAGGCCGGAGAUUAAGCGUGUUGUGAAAUGUAGAUGCUCAACAUCUGCACUGCAGCGCGAACUGGUUUCCUUGAGUACGCACAAAGUGGGCGGAAUUCGUGGUGUAGCGGUGAAAUGCUUAGAUAUCACGAAGAACUCCGAUUG